This 132-nucleotide ribosomal RNA is filed under the name Candidatus Cloacimonadota bacterium. RNAcentral's name for it is "partial 16S ribosomal RNA". It matches the Rfam family "Bacterial small subunit ribosomal RNA", at positions 1406 to 1533 of the family's 1533-position model. The record is from RNAcentral. Lineage: Bacteria; Pseudomonadati; Candidatus Cloacimonadota.
CCGAGUUGAAUGCACCCGAAGUGGCUGACCCAACCUGCUUGCAGGAGGGAGGUUCCUAAGGAGUGUUCAGUGAGGGGGGUGAAGUCGUAACAAGGUAUCCCUACGGGAACGUGGGGAUGGAUCACCUCCUUU